AAUUUAUCUAACUAACUUACUACAUUAUUAUUGUUAUUUUAAUAUUAGGAGCUCUAAAGACCCAAACCGAAAAGAAUGCCUAAAGUGGUUUUCAAAAGAUGAAUUGACGAAUUUCUUAAUUCUUUUUGUUUCGUUGUGAUAAUUUGUCGUAUGAGAACGCUAACGAGAAAAAACUUUUUAAA
Hydra vulgaris (swiftwater hydra) is the source of this 182-nucleotide long non-coding RNA. RefSeq lists it as uncharacterized. Lineage: Eukaryota; Metazoa; Cnidaria; Hydrozoa; Anthoathecata; Hydridae. The record is from RefSeq and is a predicted model, not a curated record.